Molecule: long non-coding RNA, 895 nt
Organism: Osmia bicornis bicornis
Lineage: Eukaryota; Metazoa; Arthropoda; Insecta; Hymenoptera; Megachilidae
Exons: 3
Source: RefSeq, a predicted model, not a curated record
UUGAGGUAGUAUUACAUAAUUGACAUAAUUGAUUGCGCAGCUUAUGUUUGGUUGUAUUAAUAGAGUCAACAAAUAUGUCGCACGUUGAGUUGAAGCGAUUUACAGUGGCACAAGAUCUUCUAACAGUAUUUAAUUGGCCAAAUCUAGAAGAAUACAUAGUUUCUUGAAAAAGAGUAGCAGUUCUGGUAACUCUAGAUGGAACAUGGAAAGGUACAAGAUCAAGUAGAGAUGGACAAUCAAUGAUAUUGGAGAGGAAGUUUUGAAGGAUAGAAAACGUAGGAAUCUAUGCUGAAUGCGUUCAAGAGCUUUUGCAUGUUUAACUAGCCGAGGAGCCCAGAUAAUGCUAGCAUAGUCUAGAUGCGGGAGAACAAGUGCAUAAUAUAACAUCAGUAAAGUUCUGGGAUUCUUGAAAUGAUAACAUGUGCGCUUAAGGUAUCCCAACAUCCUGGAUGCUAAGUUAGUGAUUGAAGAGAUGUGCAACUCAAAGGACAAUGCACUAUCAAUAAUCACUCCGAGGUCUCUGGUGUUAGAAGAGAUAGUUAGAUACAUUGAGACUCAUUAGAUUACGAUUACACCAAUCUUCCAAGUACACAAUGUCCUGCUGCAGUAGCUGCGCUUCAUAGAAAGAGGUAACAGUGCGGAAAAGUUUAAGGUCGUCAGCAAAGAGUAGGAACUUACAAGAAGCAAAGAUAUGCCUAAUGUCAUCAAUAAAAAUAAGGAAGAGCAAAGGACCAAGAUGGGAACCCUGUGGGACGCCAGAAGUUGCUAAUAUAGGUUUCGAUAACUGGCCAUGGUACUUGACUUGUUGUGUGCGUCCUGUUAGAUAGCUGUAGAGCCACUGUAAAAGCUUACCAUUAAUACCAAAGGAAUAAAGUUUAUCAACAAGUAAAUGGUG